GGGCUCACACAAGCGGUGGAGGAUGUGGCUUAAUUCGAGGCUACGCGAAGAACCUUAUCCUAGUCUUGACAUGUAUGGAUUAACCCUGUGAAAGCAGGGCCACGCCUUCGGGUGGAACAUACACAGGUGCUGCAUGGCUGUCGUCAGCUCGUGUCGUGAGAUGUCGCGUUAAGUCGCUUAACGAGCGAAACCCUUGUCUCUAGUUGCCAGCGCGUAAUGGCGGGGACUCUAGAGAGACCGCCGGCGUUAAGCCGGAGGAAGGUGGGGAUGACGUCAAGUCCUCAUGGCCCUUAUGACUAGGGCUGCACACGUCCUACAAUGGAACGCACAAAGGGAUGCGAAACCGCGAGGUCAAGCAAAUCCCAAAAAUCGUUCCCUAGUUCGGAUUGCAGGCUGCAACUCGCCUGCAUGAAGCUGGAAUCGCUAGUAAUCG
Molecule: ribosomal RNA, 433 nt
Filed under: uncultured bacterium
Lineage: Bacteria
Description: bacterial SSU rRNA
Rfam family: Bacterial small subunit ribosomal RNA
Source: RNAcentral